UUGUAGCUCAAGCUGGUCAUGAACUCAGUAUUCUCCUGCCUCAACCUACCGAAUGCUGGGAUUACAGCUGUGUGGCAGCAUGCCUGGUGUAAUUGGUCAGGUUUAGCUGGACCAGCUUUGCUUGAAUAAUUACACAUCUGGAUGACUUGCUUUGGUAAGGAAAUAGAUGAAAAUGGUUUUACUUUCCUGGUAUGCUGUGCUUAUUUGUAGUUCUGAAAUUUCCUGUAGCUAACCUUAAUCUGUAACAGGUGACUCCAGUUACUGCAUUCAGUAGGACAGGAAGUUACUAAAUAUAUUUUUAUUUUAAAAGAAAAAUACAAAAUUUUAAAACAAGAUUGUAGGCAAGUAACAAUGGUUAGAAUGUUGUGUAUUGCUCUUUGAGGUACUUCCUUGCAUUAUAAGAUACAGGCAUGACUUGAUCAAACAAUAGACAUAAACCUCUUCAAUGAACUAGUAAUUGGAAUGUCUUUAUUUCUGUGUUUAUAUAUCCAUAUUAUGAAAUGUAUCUAAAAUUGUUUUUCAGGUCCAGAAUUUGCAACCUUAUGAAGGUAUGCAUAUUUUGUUAACCUUGGUACUUUGACAAAGGUAACCUAUGGGUACUGUUAGUGAUGAAGCCUAAACAGAUGGGAAUCUCUCUGAAUGAGAAUGAAGCUUUAUUUUAAACUGAAACAGUAGUUGGGGGAGGUCUUUUAGGAAAAGCACCUGUGAACACUCUUUAAUUAGAUGAACUUUACAGGCACUUGGAGUUGCCAUGGCUGUGGUGCAUCGUGGGAGAGAAGUUUUCAGGAAAGGUAAGCCAUCUCAAAUCUUGUGGUUUUGGGGAUUGAACCCAGGUACACUGCUAGGUGAGUGCUCUGCCUCUGAGCGUACACCGUCAGCCUUUAAGACUGGCUAAGUCAUCCAAAAGCUGAUACAGUGAUGAUAACAUAGUUCAGCAGACUCAUGCUGAUGAACAAGCACAAGUCUUUCGCUCCUAUCUGAUGUAUCUGGCUACAAAAAUCCAACUUAACAAUAAAUCAUUUAUUGUCCCUUAGAAAGUGUAGGGUCACUUACAAGUGUCUGUCUUUAUACUCUCACAUACAGAGUCAAGAAUUGAAGAUAAACAAGCCAGGUUGCGCGCAUCUACUGCACAGGUUGAGGCAAAAUGACUUGAGCUCGAGUUCAAAUAAUGCAGGAAGACUGAACUUCCCUCUCAAAGGAACUCAUGACUGAGGAGAUGGAGGUUAGCUUCUAUGUUACAUGUACAAAUUACCUAGGUUAUAACAGAAAAGUGAACUAAAGAGUGAAGAGGGAAACUAAGUAGCACCUCUUUCUUCGGGGGCCCAGGAGAUGGAGUGCAGGGCCUCAUGCAAGUGAAAGCCACAUGCUUUACUGAGCUAUGUCCUUGACCCAGUGGGACAGACACAUUUUAACUAUUUUUUCUAUUUCUGAACCAGGUAACCCUUGUCCUCAUGAUGUCUUCAAGGUAAGGAGGCUUGCUGUGUUCUUGCAAUGGCUUGGAGUGUAACCAAUGAUGUGAUGAUUCUGCCAAAUGAAACAAAGUGAUAUCACUUACAAAACCGUUCCAUUUUGAUUCUGAGGUUACAGUAUCAGUAAACAUUGCGGAAUUCUUUUUUUCUGUGACUAAAUACAAUUCUAAUUUUUCUUCAGGACUAUGGCAUGGCACCAGUGGGCACAGUUUAUCCUUACAAAAAGGUGAGGAUUGAGAAUGUCAGUACUGUUCCUGAUCCAGAAUACAUGAUGAUCUCACCUCAACUUGAACUCUCUCACUGAUUAUUGAUGAUGAGAAAGAUCUGAUAUUCUGUAUUCCCCAAUUUUUUGUGAGUUGAACUCUGGAAAUAGGGCUAAAACCGGUGUCUUCUGUUGCAGGAAAUCAGAUGGAUGUUCACUGAAGAGAAGGUUAAAGAUGCCAAUUUUAAUAAAUUUGUGUGAACUAUC
Octodon degus (degu) is the source of this 1938-nucleotide long non-coding RNA. RefSeq lists it as uncharacterized. The record is from RefSeq and is a predicted model, not a curated record. The transcript has 2 exons. Lineage: Eukaryota; Metazoa; Chordata; Mammalia; Rodentia; Octodontidae.